RNAcentral lists this ribosomal RNA (247 nucleotides) under uncultured bacterium. Its description in RNAcentral is "partial 16S ribosomal RNA". It matches the Rfam family "Bacterial small subunit ribosomal RNA", at positions 57 to 305 of the family's 1533-position model. The record is from RNAcentral.
GCAAGUCGAGGGGUAACAUUGUGCUUGCACAGAUGACGACCGGCGCACGGGUGCGUAACGCGUAUAGAACCUACCUUUUACAGAGGGAUAGCCUUUGGAAACGAAGAUUAAUACCUCAUAGUAUCAUUUAACGGCAUCGUUUAGUGAUUAAAGGUUACGGUAUGAGAUGACUAUGCGUCCUAUUAGUUAGUUGGUAAGGUAACGGCUUACCAAGACUACGAUAGGUAGGGGCCCUGAGAGGGGGAUC